CUAGGCACCUCCUACUAGAUGUCGUCCAUGACAGAAAACAACGUGAAAGCUGGUAGGAGUAGCUUUAAAAAAAAAUCAAGUACAGUAUGAAUACUGUCGUCUAUGAAGUUUUUUUUUAAUUCAACAAGACUACCUGAUCGCCUGAGGGUAUGCAAGACUUGUGUAGACUUUCACAGACUACCUGAUCACCUGCUCUACUAGGAGAAUAGACAGUAUUAGUCACAAGACCGCCAUAGUGGAAGACAUGGCAAGAAGAGGGGGAUGGGGUGUGGUCUUGUCUGAUGGGGGAAGGGUGAGGGAAGUAUGAAGGGAGCAGGGGUGGAAUUCAUAAGUGGGAGGGGUCUGUUUAAGAACAGUGGCAACACAAGUAUACUAAAAACAGUUUAUAAUUAUAGUAAAGUAUAACAUCUUUGGUGGAAAUUAUGUAUUGUACUUUUAUUUUUUUUAUUCAUGCCACAUCCUAGAAAAGUUUCAUCUGAAACUCCAGUGCUUGUGAUCUGUGGGCUCUCUUUGUAGCUGUUAAGCAUUUAAACUGUUCAAAAGCUAUAGUUGUUCAUAGCAGCAGAGCAACAUAAGUGUCUAAAAACCAAAUUGUCUAUAGAUAGUGGUGAUUUGUUCGUUUUGUGGCUUCAAAUUUAGGAUCUAAAUCGUAAAGGAAAAAGGAAGAAACAAAAAAAACAGAAAGGUAAGACUCGUUUUAGGCCAGACUGAACAAAAAAGAUGCUCAACUGCUUCAAGUGCUAAAUUGUUCUGAUCAUAGGUUAAAGUGAUUUAGUAGACCUAUAUGUACAACAUAUGCAUCCAGAGCCAAAAUAACAUAUGCAAAUUUAUUCAUCAUUGGGAAAAAUUACAUUUACUGACAUUUACUCAUUUUCGCACAUCCCAUGAGCUAAUUUCAGGUCGGACAUUUUGUCUCGCUGGCACGUCUGCAGGCGAACUCUUUUUCAAUUAAAAUGUCUGCUUGUGCCACUGUAGUUCCACCAAUGACCAAUAGAGGUCUUUAAAAAUAUAUAUGUGAUUAAAAUGUUUAUGCCU
Long non-coding RNA from Oncorhynchus mykiss (rainbow trout), 1035 nucleotides. RefSeq lists it as uncharacterized. The record is from RefSeq and is a predicted model, not a curated record. NCBI's taxonomy places the organism in Eukaryota, Metazoa, Chordata, Actinopteri, Salmoniformes, Salmonidae.